AGCGAACGCUGGCGGCAGGCCUAAUACAUGCAAGUCGAACGGUCUCUUCGGAGGCAGUGGCGGACGGGUGAGUAACGCGUGGGAAUAUGCCCUUUGGUACGGAACAACUGAGGGAAACUUCAGCUAAUACCGUAUGUGCCCUUCGGGGGAAAGAUUUAUCGCCAUUGGAGUAGCCCGCGUUGGAUUAGGUAGUUGGUGGGGUAAAGGCCUACCAAGCCUACGAUCCAUAGCUGGUCUGAGAGGAUGAUCAGGCCACACUGGGACUCGAGACACGGCCCAGACUCCUACGGGAGGCAGCAGUAGGGAAUCUUGCGCAAUGGGCGAAAGCCUGACGCAGCCAUGCCGCGUGGAGGACGAAGCCCUUCGGGGUGUAAACUCCUUUUCUCAGGGAAAAAGGAUGAUGGUACCUGAGGAAUAAGCCCCGGCUAACUACGUG
Molecule: ribosomal RNA, 436 nt
Filed under: uncultured bacterium
Lineage: Bacteria
Description: bacterial SSU rRNA
Rfam family: Bacterial small subunit ribosomal RNA
Source: RNAcentral